This 509-nucleotide ribosomal RNA is filed under the name uncultured bacterium. Its description in RNAcentral is "partial 16S ribosomal RNA". It matches the Rfam family "Bacterial small subunit ribosomal RNA", at positions 355 to 855 of the family's 1533-position model. The record is from RNAcentral.
UGGGGAAUAUUGGACAAUGGGCGCAAGCCUGAUCCAGCAAUGCCGCGUGUGUGAAGAAGGCCUUCGGGUUGUAAAGCACUUUUAUCAGGAGCGAAACGCUGUCGGCUAAUACCCGGCGGAACUGACGGUACCUGAGGAAUAAGCACCGGCUAACUUCGUGCCAGCAGCCGCGGUAAUACGAAGGGUGCAAGCGUUAAUCGGAAUUACUGGGCGUAAAGCGUGCGUAGGCGGUUUCUUAAGUCUGCUGUGAAAUCCCCGGGCUCAACCUGGGAAUGGCAGUGGAUACUGGGAGGCUAGAGUGUGUCAGAGGGUGGUGGAAUUCCCGGUGUAGCGGUGAAAUGCGUAGAAAUCGGGAGGAACAUCAGUGGCGAAGGCGGCCACCUGGGACAACACUGACGCUGAGGCACGAAAGCGUGGGGAGCAAACAGGAUUAGAUACCCUGGUAGUCCACGCCCUAAACGAUGCGAACUGGAUGUUGGUCUCAACUCGGAGAUCAGUGUCGAAGCUAA